AUUGAACGCUGGCGGCAGGCCUAACACAUGCCAGUCGAGCGGAUGAAGGGAGCUUGCUCCUGGAUUCAGCGGCGGACGGGUGAGUAAUGCCUAGGAAUCUGCCUGGUCGUGGGGGAUAACGUCCGGAAACGGGCGCUAAUACCGCAUACGUCCUGAGGGAGAAAGUGGGGGAUCUUCGGACCUCACGCUAUCAGAUGAGCCUAGGUCGGAUUAGCUAGUUGGUGGGGUAAAGGCCUAACAAGGCGACGAUCCGUAACUGGUCUGAGAGGAAGAUCAGUCACACUGGAACUGAGACACGGUCCAGACUCCUACGGGAGGCAGCAGUGGGGAAUAUUGGACAAUGGGCGAAAGCCUGAUCCAGCCAUGCCGCGUGUGUGAAGAAGGUCUUCGGAUUGUAAAGCACUUUAAGUUGGGAGGAAGGGCAGUAAGUUAAUACCUUGCUGUUUUGACGUUACCAACAGAAUAAGCACCGGCUAACUUCGUG
RNAcentral lists this ribosomal RNA (484 nucleotides) under uncultured bacterium. RNAcentral describes it as "partial 16S ribosomal RNA". It matches the Rfam family "Bacterial small subunit ribosomal RNA", at positions 30 to 507 of the family's 1533-position model. The record is from RNAcentral.